RNAcentral lists this non-coding RNA (23 nucleotides) under Arabidopsis thaliana (thale cress). The record is from RNAcentral. Lineage: Eukaryota; Viridiplantae; Streptophyta; Magnoliopsida; Brassicales; Brassicaceae.
ACCACGGAUGGAGAUAUUGUUGG